AGAAGGUCGCCGAGCUCGUCC
Molecule: unclassified non-coding RNA, 21 nt
Filed under: Chlamydomonas reinhardtii
Lineage: Eukaryota; Viridiplantae; Chlorophyta; Chlorophyceae; Chlamydomonadales; Chlamydomonadaceae
Description: small RNA Cre_0414
Source: RNAcentral